RNAcentral lists this ribosomal RNA (335 nucleotides) under uncultured Acaulospora. RNAcentral's name for it is "LSU rRNA". Lineage: Eukaryota; Fungi; Glomeromycota; Glomeromycetes; Diversisporales; Acaulosporaceae. The record is from RNAcentral.
UUGAAAGGGAAACGAUUGAAGUCAGUCAUGUUGGUGGGGAAUCAACUUGAUAGUAUGCGGGUUUACUCGUGUCCUUUCUAGUGCACUUCCUUACUUGCAGGUUAGCAUCAAUUUCAGUUAUCAUAUAAAAAUUGAGGGAAGGUGGCUUUAGUUCGGAAAAGUGUUAUAGACCAUGAGAAAUGUGGUGGCCGGGAUUGAGGAUUGCAGCGGAUACCCAUUUGGGCUAGUCACCUGGCUUCUGAUGGUUGCCCGGUCUUCGAUAGCUUGCUAACGUUGGUGGGAUUCGAUUAUCUAGAUGUUGGAGUGAUCAUAAAUUCGUUAAGGAUGUUGACGUA